AAGUCGAGCGGAACGAGCUAUCUGAACCUUCGGGGAACGAUAACGGCGUCGAGCGGCGGACGGGUGAGUAAUGCCUAGGAAAUUGCCCUGAUGUGGGGGAUAACCAUUGGAAACGAUGGCUAAUACCGCAUGAUGCCUACGGGCCAAAGAGGGGGACCUUCGGGCCUCUCGCGUCAGGAUAUGCCUAGGUGGGAUUAGCUAGUUGGUGAGGUAAGGGCUCACCAAGGCGACGAUCCCUAGCUGGUCUGAGAGGAUGAUCAGCCACACUGGAACUGAGACACGGUCCAGACUCCUACGGGAGGCAGCAGUGGGGAAUAUUGCACAAUGGGCGCAAGCCUGAUGCAGCCAUGCCGCGUGUGUGAAGAAGGCCUUCGGGUUGUAAAGCACUUUCAGUCGUGAGGAAGGUGGUGUAGUUAAUAGCUGCAUUAUUUGACGUUAGCGACAGAAGAAGCACCGGCUAACUCCGUGCCAGCAGCCGCGGUAAUACGGAGGGUGCGAGCGUUAAUCGGAAUUACUGGGCGU
This 522-nucleotide ribosomal RNA is filed under the name uncultured Vibrio sp. RNAcentral's name for it is "bacterial SSU rRNA". It matches the Rfam family "Bacterial small subunit ribosomal RNA", at positions 59 to 561 of the family's 1533-position model. The record is from RNAcentral. Lineage: Bacteria; Pseudomonadati; Pseudomonadota; Gammaproteobacteria; Vibrionales; Vibrionaceae.